AAAUGAGUGAAUGCGUGUUUAAGGCGGCAACAAGGUGUCUGUGAUUGUGAGAGCAGCAGAUGAUCUUUGGUGUUUGUGGCUGCAGGAAGCAUGUCUUCCCUUCAGUCUCUGAGAGAGUUGAUCAGCGAGCGACUAGCUGCUGUCACACAUUCUGCUAGUGCUCAGGUGAGCUGACACCUGUGCUCAGGUGAGC
Molecule: long non-coding RNA, 193 nt
Filed under: Oryzias javanicus (javanese ricefish)
Lineage: Eukaryota; Metazoa; Chordata; Actinopteri; Beloniformes; Adrianichthyidae
Description: lncRNA (ENSOJAG00000019844.1)
Source: RNAcentral